This is a non-coding RNA of Candidatus Roizmanbacteria bacterium, 1917 nucleotides long. NCBI's taxonomy places the organism in Bacteria, Candidatus Roizmaniibacteriota. The record is from Rfam.
GGGAUAUUGAACCAAAGCUAACGGCGGAUGCCAUGGUAGCUUAAGCCGAGGAAGGACGUGUGUAUGAGCACGAUAUCGUCGAUGAGCCCUCAAACAGGCACUAUAGUCGGCGGUUUCCGAAUGGGAUAACCCCGGUCGUCGUAAUACGACUGACCACAUGUCUUCGGAUGUGUGGAGGGAACCCGGUGAACUGAAACAUCUAAGUAACCGGAGGAAGAGAAAUCAGAAUACUCCGAAAGAAAUGGAGGAGUUGAGAUUCCGUGAGUAGCGGCGAGCGAAAGCGGAACAGCCUAAACCCGGUCUUCGGACUGGGGGUUGCGGGACCUACAUACGGGAGAUAUAUUGUUAGAAAAAUGUUUUGGAAAAGACAGCCAAAGAAGGUGAGAGCCCUGUAUUCGAAAACGAUGUAUCCUUAGUAGGAUUCCCAAGUACCACGGGACACGGAAAACCCUGUGNNNNNNNNNNNNNNUGAACAAGUACCGUGAGGGAAAGGUGAAAAGUCCCCCGGCGAGGGGAGUGAAAUAGUACCUGAAACAGUUAGCUAACAAACAGACAGAGUCCCGAUGUAAGUCGGGAUGAUGUCGUGCCUAUUGAAGAAUGAGCCAGCGAGUUUUCGUUGCACUGCAAGUCUAACCAAUCUCAUAUUGGGGAGGCGAAGGGAAACCGAGUCUGAAUAGGGCGUUUUAGCAGAUAGCGAAAGACCCGAAACUGAGUGAGCUAACCAUGGGCAGGGUGAACUUCGAGUAAUAUCGAAAGGAGGCCCGAACCCGUUGUCGGUGUAAUGACUUGGGACGACCUGUGGUUAGAGGUAAUAUGCCAAUCGAACUCAGAGAUAGCUGGUUCUCCCCGAGAUAUAUUUAGGUAUAGCCUUCUUGAGUAACUUAUGGGGUAGAGCACUGGAUAGUCUUUCAAGCCUUUGGUGAGAAAGAUUAACCAAACUCCGAAUACAUAAGCUUUAAAUCAAGAGGAGUCAGGCUUGCUCGGAUAAGCGAGUAUGGUCUAAAGGGAAACAACCCAGACUCCCAUCUAAGGUCUCAAAAUGAUUAUUAAGUGGGAAAGGUUGUGAGGUCUCAAAGACAGACGGGAGGUUGGCUUAGAAGCAGCCACCCUUUAAAGAAAGCGUAACAGCUCACCGUAAUAUACCGGCUUGCCGGUAUGAGAUCUUGCGCCGAAAAUGAUCGAGGCUCAAAUAAUCUACCGAAGAUGGAGAUGCUCGUGUUUUACACGGGCGUGGUAGGGGAGCGUUCCGAUUGCAGUGAAGGUUUGAUGUAAAUCAGAUUGGAGCGAUCGGAAGUGAGAAUGCUGGCAUAAGUAGCGAUUCUCCCGAUGAAAAUUCGGGAUGCCGUAUAUCCAAGGUUUCCUCAGCAACGUACAUCGGCUGAGGGUUAGUCGGAUCUAAGGGCCUCGCCGAAAGGCAGGUCUCGAUGUACAAGCCGUUAAUAUUCGGCUACUUUUGAUAGUGCGUUAUUACUAUUGCAUUGACGAAGUGUGAUAAACAGAGCUUUCUAUAUGGGAGUUCAAGCAGCAAGUUUCGACGAGCUGCGAAUACAACCCUGAUGUAAUGUUAGGGGAGUCUGAUACGUUGCGCUUCCGGGAAAAGAUGUAAUAGGAGUGCUAUCAGAAUCCGUACCGCAAACCGACACAGGUGGAUUGGUAGGGAAUACCAAGGCAAUCGAGUAAGGGUGGUUCAAGGAACUCGGCAAAUCAGCUGAGCGUAACUUCGGGAUAUGCUCUCCCCAACUUCGGUUGGGGCUAAGUAAAUGACUUCCAUCUGACUGUUUAGCAAAAACACAGCUCCCUGCAAACCGGAAACGGGACGUAUAGGGGGUGAGGCCUGUCCAGUGCCGGUAAGUCAAGAAUUGGGGUUGAGGCCGAUUUUUUUAAUAAAUUAUCGGACGAGGCUCUGAUUUAAGCUCC